GCGUGUGACGUCACGAAGGAACAUGUCGGAUCUUGUUCACAGUGUUCUUCGUUAAGACGCACAUCACUCACAUCAGUGUUUCAGUGUAUUAAUCUUUGAAGUGAUAAAGAAUUUUGUGUCAUAAAAAAGCGUUUCUUGAAAGUAUAAUUAUAUUUUUAUAUAACUUAAAAGUUAUUUGUCGAUUAGCAUAUUAAUGUAAAUAAUAUCAAGAUUAAAUAAGUUCAAUACAAAAACUGAACCAUAUUAAUAUUGUGUUAAACAAAAAAAAAGUGUACUAUAAACUUCUCUCUAGACGUUUGUAUCGGUGUGUAUUGUGUACAUAAUACGAACUUGUGGACUAAUUUAGCUAGAUAAAAAUUUGUGUUGUGUGUAAAGCUUCGUUUUUAUGUUUAAUUACGUAAAACAUUUAAGAUGGUUUUUUUUAUGCAUUAGUUUUAUUUUUAAAUGAUUCAUCCAAUAAAGAAAUUGAUAUAUUGAAUAUCGUGGUACCGGAUGUAAAUAGCCUGAAUCAUUGUUAAAAAGUACUAAGUAUUGUAAAUUAUUACAAACGAUAGUUAAAGAGAAGAAAGAUAAAAAUAAGAAGAAAGAUAAAUAAAAAGAAAGAUAAGUUCAAAUAAGUGGCACAGCAGAAACAAUGGAAGAGGCAGAGGAAAAAUUAAUAAGAUUAAAAAGAACCCCUAUUCUUCUCUACCAAUAAUGAGUAUUCUGCUAAAGCAAAAGCGGCUGCUGUUGAAAAAAGUUUCAAAUUAAAAGCAUUAGCAAAGGAUUGAUUCAAAAUAGAUAAUAUAUUUAGCCAAAUAGCUUUAGAGUUAACUGACGAAUCCACUGAAAUUGCAGAACCUAAGAAAUAGAAGCCAAAAAAAUGUAACCAAAAAAUUGUGAAGAAACAAGCCUAAAAACAUAAUCUCGAAUGGUCAUCUACAUCAAUAGCGUCUUCGAUAUCUUCAUCACCACUGUCAUCGUUAUGUAAACCUAUGAAAAUAAAUAAUGAAACUAAAAAAACGAAUUAAUGACAGUACUAACUACAUUGUUGGCUCAAAAGGAAAAAAAAUUAGUUCAUAAUCCACACCAUGCCACCUUGAUCAUCUUCAUCAUCAACUAAAAGUAGAAAAAUAAGAAAAAUCAAUUCGAGUUUGAAGGACAUAAAUAUGCUUAUGGAAAUAGCACAUGAAGACAGUAUUAUCAGCAACAAUUGCUGAUAAUCCCUUUUCAUCAUCAUCAUAAAUCUGAAACAGAAGCUGAAAUGAAUAUAUUAGCAGCUAGAUCAUCAUCAACAAAAAAUACUGUAUCCAGUGAUUCUUUGCUGGAAUGUAUCAAACAUAAUAACAGUCUAUCAAAACAAUUAGCGAAUUUAAAAGUCCAUAUCUGCUGACGUUCCCAAAUCCUAUCUGAAAUAAAAAAAUAACAGUACUCAGCUGUUAGAUUUCAGUUUAUUAACAGAUCCUGAAGGAAAUCCAGUGGUCCAAAAAUUAGAAUUUCCGUUAUCAACAAUGGAAGAUAUUAUUUUGAUAAAUUCAAUGAAAAAUUAAAAGGCCAAAAAUAUAAAAAUAAAAUGAAUAAACAUAUAUACUUUUCUCUUGAUGGAAAAAAUACUUUUACCCAUAAUAUGGGAAAUAUUACUCGUGUUUAUAUAACAAGAGAUGUCAUAAUUAUGUAGAAGUUAAAGCAACUUCAAAAAAAAGUUUUCAAAGAUACGACUUUUUCACUUCUAUAAAAACUGCAGUAAGACAGAAAUUCGAAAAGAAUCAAGAAAGUAUUUUCGAUAAUAAAUUCCCUCAAGCAUUGUCUGCAGUAUUGAAUAAUGCUAAUAUAUUAAUAAAGAUUGGGAUGGGUACAGGGUAUUCAGGAUCAAAAAACUACCAUCUAAUGAAGAUAAAUAAAAACAACUAAUCGCUUUUAA
Melitaea cinxia (Glanville fritillary) is the source of this 1900-nucleotide long non-coding RNA. RefSeq lists it as uncharacterized. The transcript has 7 exons. NCBI's taxonomy places the organism in Eukaryota, Metazoa, Arthropoda, Insecta, Lepidoptera, Nymphalidae. The record is from RefSeq and is a predicted model, not a curated record.